UCCGGGCAUAGUGGCGCAUGCCUGUAAUCCUAGCUACUCAGGAGGCUGGGGCACGAGAAUCGCUUGAACCCCGGAGGCAGAGGUUGCAGUGAGCCGUGAUCGCACCACUGCACUCCAGCCUGGGCGACAGAGUGAGACUUUGUCUCAAAAAAAAAAUUAGUCUCACUUUGUCGCCCAGGCUGGAGUGCAGUGGUGCGAUCAUGGCUCACUGUAUAACCUCUGCCUCCCAGGGUCAAGGGAUUCUCCUGCC
Molecule: long non-coding RNA, 250 nt
Filed under: Homo sapiens (human)
Lineage: Eukaryota; Metazoa; Chordata; Mammalia; Primates; Hominidae
Description: non-protein coding lnc-NABP2-3:1
Rfam family: Metazoan signal recognition particle RNA
About the family: The signal recognition particle (SRP) is a universally conserved ribonucleoprotein. It is involved in the co-translational targeting of proteins to membranes. The eukaryotic SRP consists of a 300-nucleotide 7S RNA and six proteins: SRPs 72, 68, 54, 19, 14, and 9.
Source: RNAcentral